Long non-coding RNA from Bactrocera dorsalis (oriental fruit fly), 1291 nucleotides. RefSeq lists it as uncharacterized. The transcript is spliced from 2 exons. The record is from RefSeq and is a predicted model, not a curated record. NCBI's taxonomy places the organism in Eukaryota, Metazoa, Arthropoda, Insecta, Diptera, Tephritidae.
CGCGUCUCUCACGUACCUCGCGGCAAGUUCCUCCGAAGCCCGUUACACGAAAUAAAUGAACAAUUCAAAUACACAAAUCGGAAGCAAUAAUAACAACAAACAGCAAACGAAAAACAAAGCACUCUCAAUAGCAAUAGAUAUAAGAAACUAAAAGAAUCACUUGCUAACGAAGAAGAACAACGAGCGCUGUGAGCACAAAAAAAAUUAGUACAAAAACGAAACGAAUGGCCGGACAGAAACAAAUAAGUGAGCGACCGAGCGAGCGAGCGAGCGAACGUGUAAAAACGUCCGCAUCCGAAAACACACUGGUAGCAGCUAGCGGCUCCAUGGCUGUUGUAGCGACGAACACUACUGGAUUGCUCUGCUUGCAUGCGACACCGUGGACGGCGACGUCGACGCCGACACAUCAAGGUACCCACCCCACCGAGCCGCAGACCAUCAGCAACAACGUUGCUACCGCCGUUUGAACAUCUCACAAAGUCGGGAAAUCUGUAUAGUGCGCCGCCGCCACUGCCCCUUGCGUGCUACCGCACCCACGGCUCCCACCGCACACUGUUGUGAACGCUGACUACCUUUCCGUACAGCUGCGCGUGCGCUUUAUCUCGAGCGAUGAACCGAACUGCGAACACUACAACUCCUCAAGGCCUACAUGGAUUUAGGCCAUAAAAAUGCCGAAGUGAUUCAAGCCAAUUCCAAGAGACUCCAACGGCGUAUAGCAACGCAACUAAACAUUUUCAUCUACAUACAGACAAAUAUACUAUAUAUACAUACAUAUAUGUAUAUGAAUUUGUUUAUACAUACAAUUGUAUAUACAUAUGUACGUACCUCUAAACGCACAUUCGUAUGUAUGUACAUAUGUAUCUCAAGCAAAGUUUCUUAACGCUCUGUUGGAGUUAGUAUUGGGAAACUAAAUUGCACUGUCUACAGCAACAACACAGGCGUUCGACAACGGCUAACACGGCAGCGGCAAUAACAUUGGCUUAAGAAACCAACAAGCCAACGGCAAGCCACUGGAAGUUCGGACUGCGCUCUCGGCCGACCCACAAGAGUCUGAAGUCAGCGAAGGGGAGCACCGUCAACGAGUGGCGGCAAACAUUCACUUGCGCUCUUUGUUUAGACUUGCAUGCACAUGCAUUAAUUCAUACAAAGUUAUCUAAAUACACAUACAAGUGUAUAAGCGUACGAUACAUAUAUACGUUUUAUCUACGUAUGGAUAUGUACGUAUAAACUUUAGCAUCAUUAAGCAUAGAAACCAAGGCUUGGAAAAAUAAAACAACUAAGCUCGCCUACU